Molecule: ribosomal RNA, 548 nt
Filed under: uncultured Glomus
Lineage: Eukaryota; Fungi; Glomeromycota; Glomeromycetes; Glomerales; Glomeraceae
Description: SSU rRNA
Rfam family: Eukaryotic small subunit ribosomal RNA
Source: RNAcentral
UUGGAGGGCAAGUCUGGUGCCAGCAGCCGCGGUAAUUCCAGCUCCAAUAGCGUAUAUUAAAGUUGCUGCAGUUAAAAAGCUCGUAGUUGAAUUUCGGGACCACUAUGUCGGUCGUGCUUCGGUACGUACUGUCAUCAUUGGUUUCUCCCUUCUGAAGAACCUUGAUGUCAUUAAUUUGGUGUCUUGGGGAAUCAGGACUGUUACUUUGAAAAAAUUAGAGUGUUUAAAGCAGGCUCGCGCUUGAAUACAUUAGCAUGGAAUAAUGAAAUAGGACGUUUGAUUCUAUUUUGUUGGUUUCUAGGAUCGACGUAAUGAUUAAUAGGGAUAGUUGGGGGCAUUAGUAUUCAAUUGUCAGAGGUGAAAUUCUUGGAUUUAUUGAAGACUAACUACUGCGAAAGCAUUUGCCAAGGAUGUUUUCAUUAAUCAAGAACGAAAGUUAGGGGAUCGAAGACGAUCAGAUACCGUCGUAGUCUUAACCAUAAACUAUGCCGACUAGGGAUCGGAUGAUGUUGAUUUUUUAAUGACUCAUUCGGCACCUUACGGGAAAC